UACGUAGGGUGCAAGCGUUGUCCGGAAUUAUUGGGCGUAAAGAGCUCGUAGGCGGUCUGGCGCGUCUGCUGUGAAAACUCAGGGCUUAACCCUGAGCUUGCAGUGGGUACGGGCAGACUAGAGUGCGGUAGGGGAGACUGGAAUUCCUGGUAUAGCGGUGAAAUGCGUAGAUAUCAGGAGGAACACCGGUGGCGAAGGCGGCUCUCUGGUCCGCAACUGACGCUGAGGUGCGAAAGCUAGGGGAGCAAACGGG
RNAcentral lists this ribosomal RNA (253 nucleotides) under uncultured bacterium. Its description in RNAcentral is "partial 16S ribosomal RNA". It matches the Rfam family "Bacterial small subunit ribosomal RNA", at positions 524 to 776 of the family's 1533-position model. The record is from RNAcentral.